Molecule: ribosomal RNA, 429 nt
Filed under: Chloroflexota bacterium
Lineage: Bacteria; Bacillati; Chloroflexota
Description: Chloroflexi bacterium partial 16S ribosomal RNA
Rfam family: Bacterial small subunit ribosomal RNA
Source: RNAcentral
UGGGGAAUAUUGCACAAUGGGCGCAAGCCUGAUGCAGCCAUGCCGCGUGUAUGAAGAAGGCCUUCGGGUUGUAAAGUACUUUCAGCGGGGAGGAAGGCAGUAAAGUUAAUACCUUUGCUCACUGACGUUACCCGCAGAAGAAGCACCGGCUAACUCCGUGCCAGCAGCCGCGGUAAUACGGAGGGUGCAAGCGUUAAUCGGAAUUACUGGGCGUACAGCGCACGCAGGCGGUUUGUUAAGUCAGAUGUGAAAUCCUCGGGCUCAACCUGGGAACUGCAUCUGAUACUGGCAAGCUUGAGUCUCGUAGAGGGGGGUAGAAUUCCAAGUGUAGCGGUGAAAUGCGUAGAGAUCUGGGGGAAUACCGAUGGCGAAGGCGGCCCCCUGGACGAAGACUGACGCUCAGGUGCGAAAGCGUGGGGAGCAAACGGG